GGUUAAGCGACUAAGCGUACACGGUGGAUGCCCUGGCAGUCAGAGGCGAUGAAGGGCGUGCUAAUCUGCGAUAAGCGCCGGUAAGGUGAUAUGAACCGUUAUAACCGGCGAUACCCGAAUGGGGAAACCCAGUGUGAUUCGUCACACUAUCAUUAACUGAAUCCAUAGGUUAAUGAGGCGAACCGGGGGAACUGAAACAUCUAAGUACCCCGAGGAAAAGAAAUCAACCGAGAUUCCCCCAGUAGCGGCGAGCGAACGGGGAGGAGCCCAGAGCCUGAAUCAGCAUGUGUGUUAGUGGAAGCGUCUGGAAAGGCGCGCGAUACAGGGUGACAGCCCCGUACACAAAAGCGCAUGUGCUGUGAGCUCGAUGAGUAGGGCGGGACACGUGGUAUCCUGUCUGAAUAUGGGGGGACCAUCCUCCAAGGCUAAAUACUCCUGACUGACCGAUAGUGAACCAGUACCGUGAGGGAAAGGCGAAAAGAACCCCGGCGAGGGGAGUGAAAAAGAACCUGAAACCGUGUACGUACAAGCAGUGGGAGCACAGGUUUACCUGUGUGACUGCGUACCUUUUGUAUAAUGGGUCAGCGACUUAUAUUCUGUAGCAAGGUUAACCGUAUAGGGGAGCCGUAGGGAAACCGAGUCUUAACCGGGCGUUAAGUUGCAGGGUAUAGACCCGAAACCCGGUGAUCUAGCCAUGGGCAGGUUGAAGGUUGGGUAACACUAACUGGAGGACCGAACCGACUAAUGUUGAAAAAUUAGCGGAUGACCUGUGGCUGGGGGUGAAAGGCCAAUCAAACCGGGAGAUAGCUGGUUCUCCCCGAAAGCUAUUUAGGUAGCGCCUCGUGAAUUCAUCUCCGGGGGUAGAGCACUGUUUCGGCUAGGGGGCCAUCCCGGCUUACCAACCCGAUGCAAACUGCGAAUACCGGAGAAUGUUAUCACGGGAGACACACGGCGGGUGCUAACGUCCGUCGUGAAGAGGGAAACAACCCAGACCGCCAGCUAAGGUCCCAAAGUCAUGGUUAAGUGGGAAACGAUGUGGGAAGGCCCAGACAGCCAGGAUGUUGGCUUAGAAGCAGCCAUCAUUUAAAGAAAGCGUAAUAGCUCACUGGUCGAGUCGGCCUGCGCGGAAGAUGUAACGGGGCUAAACCAUGCACCGAAGCUGCGGCAGCGAACGUAUCACUUAAAGCGAUUCAGCGGGUUACGAUUGACGGAGCGAAGCGACGUCAAAGCGUAUACAAAGUCGAGUCGGUUUAAGGAUACGUUCGUUGGGUAGGGGAGCGUUCUGUAAGCCUGUGAAGGUGGCCUGUGAGGGUUGCUGGAGGUAUCAGAAGUGCGAAUGCUGACAUAAGUAACGAUAAAGCGGGUGAAAAGCCCGCUCGCCGGAAGACCAAGGGUUCCUGUCCAACGUUAAUCGGGGCAGGGUGAGUCGACCCCUAAGGCGAGGCCGAAAGGCGUAGUCGAUGGGAAACGGGUUAAUAUUCCCGUACUUGGUGUUACUGCGAAGGGGGGACGGAGAAGGCUAUGUUGGCCGGGCGACGGUUGUCCCGGUUUAAGCGUGUAGGUGUGUGUUCCAGGUAAAUCCGGUUCACUUUAACACUGAGGCGUGAUGACGAGGCACCACGGUGCUGAAGCAACAAAUGCCCUGCUUCCAGGAAAAGCCUCUAAGCAUCAGGUAACAUCAAAUCGUACCCCAAACCGACACAGGUGGUCAGGUAGAGAAUACCAAGGCGCUUGAGAGAACUCGGGUGAAGGAACUAGGCAAAAUGGUGCCGUAACUUCGGGAGAAGGCACGCUGAUAUGUAGGUGAAGCGGUUUACCCGUGGAGCUGAAAUCAGUCGAAGAUACCAGCUGGCUGCAACUGUUUAUUAAAAACACAGCACUGUGCAAACACGAAAGUGGACGUAUACGGUGUGACGCCUGCCCGGUGCCGGAAGGUUAAUUGAUGGGGUCAGCGCAAGCGAAGCUCCUGAUCGAAGCCCCGGUAAACGGCGGCCGUAACUAUAACGGUCCUAAGGUAGCGAAAUUCCUUGUCGGGUAAGUUCCGACCUGCACGAAUGGCGUAAUGAUGGCCAGGCUGUCUCCACCCGAGACUCAGUGAAAUUGAACUCGCUGUGAAGAUGCAGUGUACCCGCGGCAAGACGGAAAGACCCCGUGAACCUUUACUAUAGCUUGACACUGAACAUUGAGCCUUGAUGUGUAGGAUAGGUGGGAGGCUUUGAAGCGUGGACGCCAGUCUGCGUGGAGCCAACCUUGAAAUACCACCCUUUAAUGUUUGAUGUUCUAACGUGGACCCGUAAUCCGGGUUGCGGACAGUGUCUGGUGGGUAGUUUGACUGGGGCGGUCUCCUCCUAAAGAGUAACGGAGGAGCACGAAGGUUGGCUAAUCCUGGUCGGACAUCAGGAGGUUAGUGCAAUGGCAUAAGCCAGCUUGACUGCGAGCGUGACGGCGCGAGCAGGUGCGAAAGCAGGUCAUAGUGAUCCGGUGGUUCUGAAUGGAAGGGCCAUCGCUCAACGGAUAAAAGGUACUCCGGGGAUAACAGGCUGAUACCGCCCAAGAGUUCAUAUCGACGGCGGUGUUUGGCACCUCGAUGUCGGCUCAUCACAUCCUGGGGCUGAAGUAGGUCCCAAGGGUAUGGCUGUUCGCCAUUUAAAGUGGUACGCGAGCUGGGUUUAGAACGUCGUGAGACAGUUCGGUCCCUAUCUGCCGUGGGCGCUGGAGAACUGAGGGGGGCUGCUCCUAGUACGAGAGGACCGGAGUGGACGCAUCACUGGUGUUCGGGUUGUCAUGCCAAUGGCACUGCCCGGUAGCUAAAUGCGGAAGAGAUAAGUGCUGAAAGCAUCUAAGCACGAAACUUGCCCCGAGAUGAGUUCUCCCUGAGACUUAGAGUCUCCUGAAGGAACGUUGAAGACGACGACGUUGAUAGGCCGGGUGUGUAAGCGCAGCGAUGCGUUGAGCUAACCGGUACUAAUGAACCGUGAGGCUUAACCUU
RNAcentral lists this ribosomal RNA (2989 nucleotides) under Salmonella enterica subsp. enterica serovar Muenchen. RNAcentral's name for it is "23S ribosomal RNA". It matches the Rfam family "Bacterial large subunit ribosomal RNA". The record is from RNAcentral. Lineage: Bacteria; Pseudomonadati; Pseudomonadota; Gammaproteobacteria; Enterobacterales; Enterobacteriaceae.